This 222-nucleotide ribosomal RNA is filed under the name uncultured bacterium. Its description in RNAcentral is "partial 16S ribosomal RNA". It matches the Rfam family "Bacterial small subunit ribosomal RNA", at positions 113 to 334 of the family's 1533-position model. The record is from RNAcentral.
CGACGUGAGUAACCUGCCUUGGAGUGGGGAAUAACACAGUGAAAACUGUGCUAAUACCGCAUAAUGCAUUUGGGUCGCAUGAUUCUGAAUGCCAAAGAUUUAUCGCUCUGAGAUGGACCCGCGUCUGAUUAGCUAGUUGGCGGGGUAACGGCCCACCAAGGCGACGAUCAGUAGCCGGACUGAGAGGUUGGCCGGCCACAUUGGGACUGAGACACGGCCCAG